CGCGUAGGCGGCCUUCUAAGUCAGACGUGAAAUCCCCCGGCUUAACCUGGGAACUGCGUCGGAUACUGGAUGGCUUGAAUUCGGGAGAGGGAUGCAGAAUUCCAGGUGUAGCGGUGAAAUGCGUAGAUAUCUGGAGGAAUACCGGUGGCGAAGGCGGCAUCCUGGACCGACAUUGACGCUGAAUGGCGAAAGCUAGGGAGCAAACG
RNAcentral lists this ribosomal RNA (206 nucleotides) under uncultured bacterium. RNAcentral's name for it is "partial 16S ribosomal RNA". It matches the Rfam family "Bacterial small subunit ribosomal RNA", at positions 568 to 774 of the family's 1533-position model. The record is from RNAcentral.